AGACCCGAAACCCGGUGAUCUAGCCAUGGGCAGGUUGAAGGUUGGGUAACACUAACUGGAGGACCGAACCGACUAAUGUUGAAAAAUUAGCGGAUGACCUGUGGCUGGGGGUGAAAGGCCAAUCAAACCGGGAGAUAGCUGGUUCUCCCCGAAAGCUAUUUAGGUAGCGCCUCGUGAAUUCAUCUCCGGGGGUAGAGCACUGUUUCGGCUAGGGGGCCAUCCCGGCUUACCAACCCGAUGCAAACUGCGAAUACCGGAGAAUGUUAUCACGGGAGACACACGGCGGGUGCUAACGUCCGUCGUGAAGAGGGAAACAACCCAGACCGCCAGCUAAGGUCCCAAAGUCAUGGUUAAGUGGGAAACGAUGUGGGAAGGCCCAGACAGCCAGGAUGUUGGCUUAGAAGCAGCCAUCAUUUAAAGAAAGCGUAAUAGCUCACUGGUCGAGUCGGCCUGCGCGGAAGAUGUAACGGGGCUAAACCAUGCACCGAAGCUGCGGCAGCGACGCUGAUGCGUUGUUGGGUAGGGGAGCGUUCUGUAAGCCUGUGAAGGUGGCCUGUGAGGGUUGCUGGAGGUAUCAGAAGUGCGAAUGCUGACAUAAGUAACGAUAAAGCGGGUGAAAAGCCCGCUCGCCGGAAGACCAAGGGUUCCUGUCCAACGUUAAUCGGGGCAGGGUGAGUCGACCCCUAAGGCGAGGCCGAAAGGCGUAGUCGAUGGGAAACGGGUUAAUAUUCCCGUACUUGGUGUUACUGCGAAGGGGGGACGGAGAAGGCUAUGUUGGCCGGGCGACGGUUGUCCCGGUUUAAGCGUGUAGGUGUGUGUUCCAGGUAAAUCCGGUUCACUUUAACACUGAGGC
This 853-nucleotide ribosomal RNA is filed under the name Salmonella enterica subsp. arizonae. RNAcentral's name for it is "partial 23S ribosomal RNA". It matches the Rfam family "Bacterial large subunit ribosomal RNA", at positions 711 to 1562 of the family's 2925-position model. RNAcentral also lists the same sequence under 1 other name. The record is from RNAcentral. Lineage: Bacteria; Pseudomonadati; Pseudomonadota; Gammaproteobacteria; Enterobacterales; Enterobacteriaceae.